This 470-nucleotide ribosomal RNA is filed under the name uncultured organism. RNAcentral describes it as "partial 16S ribosomal RNA". It matches the Rfam family "Bacterial small subunit ribosomal RNA", at positions 335 to 797 of the family's 1533-position model. The record is from RNAcentral.
ACUCCUACGGGAGGCAGCAGUGGGGAAUUUUGGACAAUGGGCGAAAGCCUGAUCCAGCCAUGCCGCGUGCAGGAUGAAGGCCUUCGGGUUGUAAACUGCUUUUGUACGGAACGAAACGGCCUUUUCUAAUAAAGAGGGCUAAUGACGGUACCGUAAGAAUAAGCACCGGCUAACUACGUGCCAGCAGCCGCGGUAAUACGUAGGGUGCAAGCGUUAAUCGGAAUUACUGGGCGUAAAGCGUGCGCAGGCGGUUAUGUAAGACAGUUGUGAAAUCCCCGGGCUCAACCUGGGAACUGCAUCUGUGACUGCAUAGCUAGAGUACGGUAGAGGGGGAUGGAAUUCCGCGUGUAGCAGUGAAAUGCGUAGAUAUGCGGAGGAACACCGAUGGCGAAGGCAAUCCCCUGGACCUGUACUGACGCUCAUGCACGAAAGCGUGGGGAGCAAACAGGAUUAGAAACCCGGGUAGUCCC